RNAcentral lists this long non-coding RNA (1710 nucleotides) under Solanum tuberosum (potato). Its description in RNAcentral is "long non-coding RNA (STUB_LNC004722)". Lineage: Eukaryota; Viridiplantae; Streptophyta; Magnoliopsida; Solanales; Solanaceae. The record is from RNAcentral.
UGAAGGACAAUCGGAUUGCGGAGUUGAUUAAAGACUCCUGUUGUGUGUUUGGACCUUUCUUUCUUGGCACAGUCUCACUUAAAUGGCCGCAUCCGACUAGCAGAAUACUUUGGAUUACAUCAACAACAUAUUUCCCACAGGUCUUUCUUCUCUCUAUGAACAAGUUUGUUUGCAGAACAAGGGUUUUAAUCCAAUGCUGCUCGCUCAUGAUCUCAAACUGUUUCCCCUUUUCUUUUUAUGAUGAUGUAGUUAGUUUCUGAAUUUGACUAAUCCCUAUUAAAUUCGGUUGAAUUGAUAAUUGUUAAUUUGAGACAAUUACCUUCACACUGAUAUCUAUCAAGUCUCACUUUAAAUGGUUCUUGCUAUCAAAUGGUGUUAGUUUGAAAAAAAAGGUUUGAUUUGUACGUAGCUGAGAGAUAUAACUUUGCUGGUACUAUUGACUCAUUGAAACAGAAUGGAGUGCUUCACUUUGGAUUUUCUAAACCCUUAAAAGUUCUGGUAUUCUUUCUCUUCAAAUCAACCAUAAAAUCCAAAGAGGAUGAUGAAAUUUAAUACGUAUUAUUGAGUUAGUUAGGUUUGAUGGGAAUAGAAAAAUUGCAAACGCUUCAGGUUUUAUGUAAAAAGGAUCAAGGAGAUCCUCCCUCAGUUAGAUCAAUGGAUACUAGAGCUUGUAAGGAACAUAAGUAUUUCAGUUUUCUUUAUUUUAUCAAACUUCCAUUAAGGAUGUAUAGACGAUACUAUAUGGUAAGGAUCUUUGUUUUAUUCAUCAGUCAUUAUUGGGAGAAAACCAAGAGGUCUCUGGCCUUUCCUGAUUCACUUUGUCUUUGAUCAAUUUCAACACUUAUUGUUCUUUCCUGUUUGAAAUCAUUUCUCUCUGCUCCUCUUUUUUUUACUUUGGGUUUACUGUAGUAAAUCCAUUGAUAAAAAUGUGUGAUUUCUGUAAACAAGAGGUAUGAUAAAUAGAGUUUAGGGACAAGCAUUGAGAUUCAUAAAGUCCAUCAUUUAUUUGUACCAAUGGAUCUCAUGGGCUUAAACAUGUCUAGAAAACAAUAGUUUUCUCAAGAUUUGGUUGAAAGUCUCAUUCCUUGUCUUAAAAUUUUUAGUUAAGACUUGGGAAAUAUAUCGAGGCAUUAGAUAGGAACUGAAUGUUCUGUACAGGGUUAUGUCACGUCAGUAACAGUCCUGAUCAUUUAUAGAUGGAUUCCAAACUUUUUCUCUGAAGUUGGCCGUUGUUCUCUUGUAUAAUCUAUCUUAUGAAAUAUCCAAAUGGUAAAGUUAAAUGGAUAACAGAUUGUUCUGUUUGGUGGAAGUUCUUUCAGGAUAUUCACUAAAAGGGUGACAGGACGUUGAAUUUGGAAUAGAGGGAGUUGGAAGCUUUACUUAGGUAUUUUGCUCAAUUUGUUUUUCAAAAUUACUCUUUUGUGUUUAUGAGACUUUAAAAACUUAGCUUUUCUAUAGUUCUCAAGAAACAGAUAAGGAGAAAGAGAUGUUAUCGAGUUUGCUUAUUGCAUCUUACAUGAUCUGCUUAUAAUAUCCUAUCAUUGCCUUCUUUUUGGUUUUCCACCCAGUGUUCGGUAUCCAAAUUGGAGCCCAAUUAAAUUCGGAUUCGCGCCGUAAAGUUCCACAUUGAGGGGUAAAGCGCUCCCUAACAAAGGCGACUCUGUACCCAAAGGGGUGGUUAAGAAUGAAAGAGUACUUACCAUAUUAAGC